Molecule: long non-coding RNA, 1396 nt
Filed under: Sus scrofa (pig)
Lineage: Eukaryota; Metazoa; Chordata; Mammalia; Artiodactyla; Suidae
Description: lncRNA (ENSSSCG00035071405.1)
Source: RNAcentral
AUGAGGCAUCCGCCCUGCGGGCUCAGUCAGCCUGCUGGGGGACGGACAAACCAGCAGUGCUCUCCUCUGACACCCCGAGAUACGGGACUCGCCCCGCUUCCAGCGCCCUGGCCACGGCGCCCCGCGGAGCGCCGCCCCUCCUGCAGGUACCGGGCUUUCAGGGGAGAAGACGCCCUUUACUCCCCGACCUCCUGGAACCUUCUGGCCAUCCGCCUGGCCUUCAUCAUUGUGUUUGAGUUAAGGCCAAGGGAUGGAUCACAGCUAUGGACACAGACGACGUGGAAGACAUUCGACAGGGAGGGAACGGACACGCACGCCGGUCCCGCCAGGGCCCUGCCCGCAGCGGCGGAGGCCGCAGGAGACAGGCCCCGGGCACAGUCAUCUCGGGAUGCUUAACGACACCCAGCGACGGUGAGCGGGACCCCAAACGGCUCAGGAAGGGGAGCCUGCGUUUAUGACAUUUAGCAAUAAGUGCACAUGUGCAAAACCUAUUGUGAGAAUUAAACAUUUCCCUUGGGCAGCGGGCAGGGCUGGAUGCUGCAGAAGAGACAGAGGGAGGAGCAGGUGUGGGCAGGCGCAGGGAAGGCUCGGGACUCGUGCACGAGGAAGAGGGCGUCUUUCUCUCUCGUCAACUCUACCCAGUUCGGGGCGGCCCGGCCCGCUGAGCGGAAGCAACGCCCUUUCCUUCUACCCCGUUUAUGGGGCCUACACACGGGCACACGUAAGGCUGCUGGGGCUCCCGGGCCCUUGCAGAGGCAGCCGCAGUCAGGCUCGGGGUCAGCGAGUCUCGGUCCCACUCCGGAGCUGCAGAGCUGAAGGCCUCCAAGCUCUUUUCUGAGCAUGAGAAACCCCGAAGGGUGGGGCGUGGGCGCCCAGGGCACAAGGCGGCUUCUCUGGGAAGUUGGUACCUGGGUGAUACUGAGAACUGGAGAGUGGCCCAGUCACUCGCGGUGCAGAGACAGGGACCCAGACGGCCAGAGCUGAGGGCCUGUCCUUGGUUUCCACGCCACACGACACAGGUGUCUCUGCUGCCAGGGCCCCACCUUGCCCUCACCCCGACUCCCCAAGGCCUGGGGCCCAGCCCCUGGGAUGAGCUCCCCCCCCCGCCCCGGCCUCCUGCCCGGGAGCACCGGGCGCCUGGUCCAGGCUGCCAGCCUCUCUCUACCCAGGACCAGCCAGCCUGCCUCCUGAGCAAGCGGCAGAGGGCGGCCGGGGUGGCACGUGCACUCCCUGCUGUGGACUGGCGCACUGGCCACCGGCCACCCGUGGGUGAGGGAGGGCGCGGCCCCCCAGCCCCCAGGCCCAGGGAAAGGCCCGAGUGCUGGGGAGACGCGGCCGCCGGCUGAAGUAGAGCAGAGGCCCUUCCCGCCCCCGUUGGCCCUUCGUCUGGGCGAUG